GAGGGUAUAGCUCAAGUGGUAGAGUGCAUGCUUAGCAUGCAUGAGGUCCCUGGGUUCAAUCCUCAGUACCUCUG
RNAcentral lists this transfer RNA (74 nucleotides) under Camelus bactrianus (Bactrian camel). It matches the Rfam family "tRNA". From Rfam's summary of the family: Transfer RNA (tRNA) molecules are approximately 80 nucleotides in length. The record is from Rfam by way of RNAcentral. RNAcentral also lists the same sequence under 2 other names. Lineage: Eukaryota; Metazoa; Chordata; Mammalia; Artiodactyla; Camelidae.